GUCGACGCAGCACCGGCAACUUGGAGAGCGUCGUACCAUUGAAAAGUGGUGAGACCGUGACCCUCUAGCAGUGUCCACAUAAUGGCAGGGAAAUGCAGGGAUCCCGCAGCCAUGGCUACAGCAGCACGGCGUGUAAUCUGGAUGUCAUGUCAGGGUACACGUGCACUCGCUUCAAGACGACGACCCUCCACCUCAAAAACAGCCUCUCCUCAAAGACUAGCAGGGAGACUAAAUGAAAGGAAAAUACCACAUCCGUAACCAGACAGAUACUAUGUGUUCCUUACAUUUAACCUCCUUCUCUCUUUAAGGAAGCGUGGCAUAUGCCCAAUAAAUGUUUUUAUCAACUUUUUUUCGUUGAGAAAUGUCUAAUGUGCAGCAUAUGUACGAGCCCACGUACAUGUUGGAAAAAGUGCUGCACCUUAGCUUGAUAUAUGUAUAUCAAGCACGAAAGACACAUCAGAAAAUGUUGCCACAUGUGGUGGCUAAUUUUGUUUUAGGAAUUCUAUGAAUGCCAGCAAUCUAAUGUGUAAACUCAGCAGAGGCUCAUUAGGAAGACAUGACACGGUCACACGAAAACUGCUUUGGAGCACGCAUUAGGAAGACAUUUCAUGCUCACAAGAAAAACACUCAUCAAGUAUGCAUCAGAACGACGGUGGCUAAUAUGUUUUAGAAUGACAUUAGGAAUACAUCAGAAUAUUUCCGAAGAAACACAUCAGAGACUCAUUUGGCUGUAAUGUCAAAAGUCAUCAGACCUUCACGUGAAACUCAUCUCAUAUUUUCUU
Long non-coding RNA from Dermacentor silvarum, 782 nucleotides. RefSeq lists it as uncharacterized. The record is from RefSeq and is a predicted model, not a curated record. The transcript is spliced from 3 exons. Lineage: Eukaryota; Metazoa; Arthropoda; Arachnida; Ixodida; Ixodidae.